This 254-nucleotide ribosomal RNA is filed under the name uncultured bacterium. RNAcentral's name for it is "partial 16S ribosomal RNA". It matches the Rfam family "Bacterial small subunit ribosomal RNA", at positions 524 to 776 of the family's 1533-position model. The record is from RNAcentral.
UACGUAGGGUGCAAGCGUUGUCCGGAAUUAUUGGGCGUAAGGAGCUCGUAGGCGGUGUGUCGCGUCGGCCGUGAAAACCUGCAGCUCAACUGUGGGCUUGCGGUCGAUACGGGCAUCACUGGAGUUCGGCAGGGGAGACUGGAAUUCCUGGUGUAGCGGUGAAAUGCGCAGAUAUCAGGAGGAACACCGGUGGCGAAGGCGGGUCUCUGGGCAGUAACUGACGCUGAGGAGCGAAAGCGUGGAGAGCGAACAGG